This 421-nucleotide long non-coding RNA is filed under the name Heterocephalus glaber (naked mole-rat). RNAcentral describes it as "lncRNA (ENSHGLG00100034237.1)". The record is from RNAcentral. Lineage: Eukaryota; Metazoa; Chordata; Mammalia; Rodentia; Bathyergidae.
UUAACUCCGGUUGCUGCUGCUGUGAAGGGAAAGAGGGGUAGUCACAGUCUGUCCCAUCGUCUCGGUCCAAGUCAGCACAAACAGACACACAAACGCAACAGAGAAGCACAAGAUGGGAGCAGCUUCGUGAAGAUGGGGUUCAUCAUGCUGGAUAUGCGGUAACCAUGAAGGAUGAGGUGGUCCUAGGCAGGACCGUCCAUGCAAUGUGCUAAGCUCUGGGCACUCAUACAGGCACUCCGAUGGGCGAAGGGUAAAAAAGGCAGAAUUGACUACUUUAUGGCUGGUUACUGCUUCAUCCUGUGCCACCUGCCCUCCCAUCAUGAGGCCCUUACCAGAAGUCAAGCAGAACCCAAGCAGAUGGUGGUGCCAUGCUCCCAGCCUCCAAAACCCUGAGCCAAAAUAAACCUUCCUUGGAAAUCGG